RNAcentral lists this long non-coding RNA (388 nucleotides) under Androctonus crassicauda. The record is from RNAcentral. Lineage: Eukaryota; Metazoa; Arthropoda; Arachnida; Scorpiones; Buthidae.
UUUUAGGAGAUUUUAUGCUUUAUUUAUUGAUGGCUUCAUUCAUAAAAUUAUUUAAUAUCAUGGUUUUGCAAUCACAAAAUUCAAAAUCUAAAAGAACUGUACGAAUUAUGACAUGUAUUGUUUCAGAGAACAACAAAGUUUCAAUAAGCAGCAGCUCAUUCCCUGAUUUGACAAAUAGUCAACGUAUUCUUGUACACAAGUGUAGAAGGUUGAACAAGAGUAAACUUCAAUGUAAAGACACAGCAUCUAGUGCAUAGCAGAAUUAAUGUCAUUGGCAUUGAUAUACAACAUAUUUACAUCACAUUUUACACUUGUGAGACCCAGCUUUCAGUAGACUUCAGUUUUUUGUUAAUAGGAAAAAAUAAUGUAAAGUUGAAAACGACAUAAG